UGUAAUACUUAGAUGCAAACAAAAGAGCAAGAUGGAAAAUGGUACCAAACUGUAACCUGCUGCUGGGCAAGUGAAGAUGUUCCUUUCUUAUCAGAUCCUCUUUGUGGGGAAGAAUAAUGCCAUACUUCACUCAGGAUUUCAUUCGACCGCAAUCAAUAUAGGAUGUGUAAGGAGGAGUUUUUGAAGCUAAAUACCUUUUAGUUCCCUUCAACUUUGUGUAUAAAUUCCUAUACAAAACCAAUUAAAAUCUUUGCUGUCUUGAAAUUAUAGUUUCCAUUACUGUACUCAACACAGUGUUUUAUCAUCUCACACUAUAAACCUCUAAACAGGAAUAAUCCUGCAAGAAGACAGCACUCUGGGAGGCUUCUGAUGGAAAAAUAAAUGCCUAGUUGCAAGUGAAUGCA
Molecule: long non-coding RNA, 404 nt
Filed under: Cyanistes caeruleus (blue tit)
Lineage: Eukaryota; Metazoa; Chordata; Aves; Passeriformes; Paridae
Description: lncRNA (ENSCCEG00000009980.1)
Source: RNAcentral